Molecule: long non-coding RNA, 1277 nt
Organism: Humulus lupulus (European hop)
Lineage: Eukaryota; Viridiplantae; Streptophyta; Magnoliopsida; Rosales; Cannabaceae
Exons: 5
Source: RefSeq, a predicted model, not a curated record
UAAAUAAACAAUUACUUAGUUUCUAUGUAAAGUCUUUAAUGUUGACGACAAAAUUGAUGGAAAAUAAUAAUAAUAGUCCAAAUUGAUCAACACAUAAUUUUCAAUGUCAAUGUGAUAGAAAAUCUUCCGGAACUAUUUAUAAUCAGUAUCUUUGAAGGUUUAUGCAACUAAAUUAUUUGGCUACCAUAAUUUAUUAGAGCAGUAUUGUUAUUAGUAUUAAGUUGCUGAAAUAAUGUUUAUUUUAGUAGCUGAAUUUAAGAUAGAAUGAGCAAGAAUGAUGGUGAUUAUGAAAAUGAUGAUUUUUUUGGACAUUUGAGAUGGAAUAUGUUUCUUUAUGUUAAGUUUGUACCAUUAAUGAAUAUAGUUUAUGAUUUUAAGACUCGUAACAAGUAAUUUCAUGAAUUUUAUGUUUUUAUUUUAUCAUUUAAUUUUUAAUUUUGUAUUAAUCUUUUAGGUAUUGAUUAUAUUCCUUUGGCUGUGGAUCGAAUUGGCAAGGAGCAAAUUUAAUUAACUUGAUUAUUAAUAGCAAGAGGUACGGAAAUGAAUCUGAAUCUACUUUUCAUGAGGCUUUUCUUAGUUGUCUUACGGAAACUGGUGCAAUAGAAAGUUCAUCUUUAUGUGACCUUCCUAAAUAGAUGGAAGGUGAUCAACAGAGAGCCUCUGAACAGACUAAGAACAUCUUAAGUAAUUUAGUUGCUGCUGUUGACAAUUUGUGGUAUCUAAAAGAUGAAAUACAUACUGUAGUCUUGAAAAAACUUUCAGAAAAUGGAUCUUGCUGGCAAAGGACACCAAGUGAAUUAGAUAGAGAGGUUAAGAACUUGAGGGUGGCAUUUACUGACUUGUUUUUGAAGCAUAACACUUUCAAAGAAACUGCAAAGCCAUCGAGAUAUUGAUGCAAAGAAUAAAGCCGAGCUUAGAAUAUUAAGAGGUAACUCCUAGUGAGUGGAGAGAAGGCACUUCAACUUGGAUUGCAAGUAAUUGCAAAGAUUAAGGGCUAUGCUGAUGCAGCUCAGGCACCUGAAUUCUUUACAACUGCUCCAGCCCUUGUGAUACCCAAAGCUAUUUCAAAUGUUGGUUUAGAUGCUUCUCAGAUUGAUUACUAUGAAAUAAAUAAAGCGUUUUCUGUUGUAGCUCUAGCCAAUCAAAAGCUGCUUGAUCUUAAUCCUGUGAGUUUGGAGAAAACUAGAUAAUUUCUUUCAAGUUGAUUUACUUUAUAUGCUUACGGGUGGAAACUAGCUUAAGUCUUGUGUUCUUAAUAAUAAAAGGACUUUUUUUUU